GAAAUGCGAUAAGUAAUGUGAAUUGCAGAAUUCAGUGAAUCAUCGAAUCUUUGAACGCACCUUGCGCUCCUUGGUAUUCCUUGGAGCAUGCCUGUUUGAGUAUCAUGAAAUCUUCAAAGUAAAUCUUUUGUUAACUCAAUUGGUUUCUACUUUGGUAUUGGAGGUCUUUGCAGCUUCACACCUGCUCCUCUUUGUUCAUUAGCUGGAUCUCAGCGUUAUGCUUGGUUCCACUCGGCGUGAUAAGUUAUCUAUCGCUGAGGACACUGUAAAAGGUGGCCAAGGUAAAUGCAGAUGAACCGCUUCUAAUAGUCCAUUGACUUGGACAAUACUUUUAUGAUCUGAUCUCAAAUCAGGUAGGACUACCCGCUGAACUUAAGC
RNAcentral lists this unclassified non-coding RNA (378 nucleotides) under plant metagenome. Its description in RNAcentral is "partial contains 5.8S ribosomal RNA, internal transcribed spacer 2, and large subunit ribosomal RNA". The stretch from base 1 to 105 matches the Rfam family "5.8S ribosomal RNA", at positions 50 to 154 of the family's 154-position model. The record is from RNAcentral.